Molecule: ribosomal RNA, 253 nt
Filed under: uncultured bacterium
Lineage: Bacteria
Description: partial 16S ribosomal RNA
Rfam family: Bacterial small subunit ribosomal RNA
Source: RNAcentral
UACGGAGGGUGCAAGCGUUAUCCGGAUUUACUGGGUUUAAAGGGAGCGUAGGUGGUUCUUUAAGUCAGUGGUGAAAUCUCUCGGCUUAACCGAGAAGCUGCCAUUGAUACUGGAGAACUUGAAUACGGUUGAAGUGGGCGGAAUAAAUCAUGUAGAGGUGAAAUUCUUAGAGAUGAUUUAGAACACCGAUUGCGAAGGCAGCUCACUAAGCCGUUAUUGACACUGAUGCUCGAAAGCGUGGGGAUCAAACAGG